AGCCUUGAAUCAUUUAAGGACAGAUCUAAACACUUUGAUGAGUUCAAAGUUUGUCCAGUUGACAUCCACGAUGUUGACCCUUUCUUCUUCACUGAGAGUUGAGAGUUUUUCUCCAUUUCUGGUGAGCUUGAGCUUGAGCUUCUUUUAAUUCCAACAUCCCCCCUCAAGAUGGAGGGGAGGGAAGCGACACCCAUCUUGUAAAGCUGUUGUUGAUGAGAAGGGCCUGAUAAGGACUUCGUGAAAAUGUCGGCUAACUGGUCUUUUGAAGGAACAAAAGAGAGGGAGAUGAGACCGGAGAGAUACCGCUGUCUCACAAAAUGACAGUCAAGCUCCAUGUAUUUCGUCCUCUCAUGAAACACUGGAUUUCGGGCGAUGUGAAUCGCCGCUUGACUGACGGAGUGAAUCAGAACAAGUAAUGGUGGUGGAAUCGACAGAUCUGAGAGUAGACGGGGCAACCAAGUUAACUCAGCCACCAAUCGACGCAUUGACCUAUAUUCGGCUUCAGCCGAUGAUAGAGAGACAUAUGUUUGCUUUUUCGACUUUCACGAGAUGGGAGAUCCACCCAUAGUGAUAUAAAAUCCACUAACGGAGCGACGAGAGUCCGAACACGAAUUCCAAUCAGCAUCGCAAAAAGCGGCAAGGGAGAAGGAUGGUGAAGCAGACAAAGAAAUUCCUUGGUUGGGAUUUCCUUUCAGAUAGCUUGCAAGAAGAGUCCAUGGGUGAAGAAACAGAUGACAGAUGGGAAAUGUCAAACUCUUGAAGUAAAUCUAAGUGAAUUCAAGAUCCAAGCUAUCACCAUGUCAUUACAUCUAUUCCAAAGUGGCAGAUCUGGAGAUUCAUCAGAUGUUUGAGUAGCAUGAGCACCAGUGAUGAAUCCCAAUUUAUUUUUGGCUGAUAAAGAAAGGAGGAUGGACCUCUUCCAACCCUAAUAACCUCUUCCAUCAAAGAGGUUAUUAACCAACACCAUUCCAGUCAGAAGCAUGAAGAUAGUAGGGGUGAUUUGAAUCAACAGAUAUUACACUACCAGUGUUUGUUGAUGAGUUAACAACAGAAGUUAUGCCUUCAGCCAUUUUGAAACGAGAAGAAAACUACAGAUUUCUUAGUGAUUUGAUUUGAUUUGUUUACUGCUCUGAUACCAUGUAAGAAUUAAUUAAGAACAGUAUUGGGAAAUUUCUGGUUGUAUUUCAUUUGUAUACCUUUAUAUGUAUUUAUACAAGUCUAUUGCAUAACAUAAAAAAAGAAUAUUUAAAUCCUA
Lycium barbarum (goji berry) is the source of this 1255-nucleotide long non-coding RNA. RefSeq lists it as uncharacterized. The transcript is spliced from 3 exons. Lineage: Eukaryota; Viridiplantae; Streptophyta; Magnoliopsida; Solanales; Solanaceae. The record is from RefSeq and is a predicted model, not a curated record.